Molecule: ribosomal RNA, 274 nt
Filed under: uncultured bacterium
Lineage: Bacteria
Description: partial 16S ribosomal RNA
Rfam family: Bacterial small subunit ribosomal RNA
Source: RNAcentral
AUACGAAAGGUGCAAGCGUUGUUCGGAUUUACUGGGCGUAAAGAGAGUGUAGGUUGUUUAUUAAGUCGGACGUGAAAUCCCGGGGCUCAACCUCGGAACUGCAUUCGAUACUGGUAGACUAGAGUUCGGGAGGGGUAAGCGGAAUUCCGUGUGUAGCAGUGAAAUGCGUAGAUAUACGGAGGAACACCUGAGGCGAAGGCGGCUUACUGGACCGAUACUGACACUGAGACUCGAAAGCGUGGGUAGCAAACAGGAUUAGAAACCCCAGUAGUCC